Molecule: unclassified non-coding RNA, 298 nt
Organism: Callithrix jacchus (white-tufted-ear marmoset)
Lineage: Eukaryota; Metazoa; Chordata; Mammalia; Primates; Cebidae
Rfam family: Metazoan signal recognition particle RNA
About the family: The signal recognition particle (SRP) is a universally conserved ribonucleoprotein.
Source: Ensembl
GCUGGGUGUAGUGGCACAUGCCUGUAGUCCUAGCCACUCUGGUGGCUGCAGAGGGAGUGGUGUAUGAGCCCAGGAGUUCCGAGCUGUUCUGUACUAUGCCAGUAGGGUAUUCACCCUAACUAUGGCAUCAAUAUGAUGACCUUCCUGGAGCAGGGGACUAUAAGUUUCCAAAAGUGGGAUGAAGCACCCCAGAUUGGAAACAGAGCAGGUCAAAACUCCCAUGCUAAUCAACUGUGGAAUUAUGCCUGUGAAUAGCCACUGCACUCAGUCUGGGUGACACGGUGAGACCCUACAUCUU